RNAcentral lists this ribosomal RNA (494 nucleotides) under uncultured bacterium. Its description in RNAcentral is "partial 16S ribosomal RNA". It matches the Rfam family "Bacterial small subunit ribosomal RNA", at positions 28 to 507 of the family's 1533-position model. The record is from RNAcentral.
GACGAACGCUGGCGGCGUGCUUAACACAUGCAAGUCGAACGGUGAAGCGCCUUCCUUUUUGGUGGGUGUGGAUGAGUGGCGAACGGGUGAGUAACACGUGAGUAACCUGCCCUCUUCUUCUGGAUAACCGCAUGAAAGUGUGGCUAAUACGGGAUAUUCUGGGUCUGUCGCAUGAUGGGUCUGGGAAAGAUAUUGUUUCGGUGGGGGAUGGGCUCGCGGCCUAUCAGCUUGUUGGUGGGGUGAUGGCCUACCAAGGCGGUGACGGGUAGCCGGCCUGAGAGGGUGGACGGUCACACUGGGACUGAGACACGGCGCAGACUCCGACGGGAGGCAGCAGUGGGGAAUAUUGCACAAUGGGCGCAAGCCUGAUGCAGCGACGCCGCGUGAGGGAUGGAGGCCUUCGGGUUGUGAACCUCUUUCGCCAGUGAAGCAGGCCUGCCUCGUUUGUGGGUGGGUUGACGGUAGCUGGAUAAGAAGCGCCGGCUAACUACGUG